RNAcentral lists this ribosomal RNA (234 nucleotides) under uncultured Glomus. RNAcentral describes it as "partial 18S ribosomal RNA". It matches the Rfam family "Eukaryotic small subunit ribosomal RNA", at positions 548 to 785 of the family's 1831-position model. The record is from RNAcentral. Lineage: Eukaryota; Fungi; Glomeromycota; Glomeromycetes; Glomerales; Glomeraceae.
UUGGAGGGCAAGUCUGGUGCCAGCAGCCGCGGUAAUUCCAGCUCCAAUAGCGUAUAUUAAAGUUGCUGCAGUUAAUAAGCUCGUAGUUGAAUUUCGGGACCAAUAUCUCGGUCGUGCCUCGGUACGUACUGGCAUCGUUGGUUUCUCCCUUCUGACGAACCAUGAUGUCAUUCAUUUGGUGUCGUGGGGAAUCAGGACAGUUACUUUGAAAAAAUUAGAGUGUUUAAAGCAGGC